This 29-nucleotide non-coding RNA is filed under the name Mus musculus (house mouse). Lineage: Eukaryota; Metazoa; Chordata; Mammalia; Rodentia; Muridae. The record is from RNAcentral.
UAGGUUUUCCAAUGCCUCGCCUGUGAUGU